UCCCCGUUAUGCAGGGCAGUCUGACCAGAGUGCUUCUCAUUGCUGAGAAUAGCAACAGGUCACAGGGGUUGCGCUCGUUACCGGACUUAACCGAACACCUCACGGCACGAGCUGACGACAGCCAUGCAGCACCUGUGUACGCUGGUAUUGCUACCUCGUUAGACUUUCAUCCUUCUACUACGUACAUGUCAAGGCCAGGUAAGGUUCUUCGCGUUGCAUCGAAUUAAGCCACAUGCUCCACCGCUUGUGCGGGCCCCCGUCAAUUUCUUUGAGUUUUAAUCUUGCGACCGUACUCCCCAGGCGGCGCAUUUAACGCGUUAGCUACGAGACAGAAGGGGUCGAAUCCUCCUACCUCAAAUGCGCACCGUUUACGGCCAGGACUAC
RNAcentral lists this unclassified non-coding RNA (384 nucleotides) under uncultured Candidatus Methylacidiphilaceae bacterium. Its description in RNAcentral is "uncultured Methylacidiphilaceae bacterium contains 16S-23S intergenic spacer region". Lineage: Bacteria; Pseudomonadati; Verrucomicrobiota; Methylacidiphilae; Methylacidiphilales; Methylacidiphilaceae. The record is from RNAcentral.